CAGUGGAGAUGCUGUUACUUU
RNAcentral lists this microRNA (21 nucleotides) under Xenopus laevis (African clawed frog). RNAcentral describes it as "Xla-Mir-194-P2b_3p* (star (passenger))". The record is from RNAcentral. Lineage: Eukaryota; Metazoa; Chordata; Amphibia; Anura; Pipidae. RNAcentral also lists the same sequence under 1 other name.